RNAcentral lists this ribosomal RNA (481 nucleotides) under uncultured bacterium. RNAcentral describes it as "partial 16S ribosomal RNA". It matches the Rfam family "Bacterial small subunit ribosomal RNA", at positions 28 to 507 of the family's 1533-position model. The record is from RNAcentral.
GAUGAACGCUGGCGGCGUGCCUAACACAUGCAAGUCGAACGGAGAUUACGGACGGAAGUUUUCGGAUGGAAGACUGUAAUUCUUAGUGGCGGACGGGGGAGUAACGCGUGGGCAACCUGCCCUAUACAGGGGGAUAGCAGCUGGAAACGGCUGGUAAGACCGCAUAAGUCGGCGAGACCGCAUGGUUUUGCCGGGAAAUGAGCAAUCAGGUAUAGGAUGGGCCCGCGUCCGAUUAGCCAGUUGGCAGGGUAAAAGCCUACCAAAGCAACGAUCGGUAGCCGGACUGAGAGGUCGGCCGGCCACAUUGGAACUGAGACACGGCCCAAACUCCUACGGGAGGCAGCAGUGGGGGAUAUUGCACAAUGGAGGAAACUCUGAUGCAGCGACGCCGCGUGAGGGAAGAAGUAUUUCGGUAUGUAAAGCGCUAUCAGCAGUGAAGAUGAUGACGGUACCUGACUAAGAAGCCCCGGCUAACUACGUG